RNAcentral lists this long non-coding RNA (1533 nucleotides) under Sus scrofa (pig). Its description in RNAcentral is "lncRNA (ENSSSCG00030020702.1)". Lineage: Eukaryota; Metazoa; Chordata; Mammalia; Artiodactyla; Suidae. The record is from RNAcentral.
GCUCUCUCGCUGGAGGUUGUGCGCGUGCGUAGCACGCAAGGUCGGUUGGGAGUGGUAGUCGGUUCCCGCACUUUAAACGCCUUACCGACUAUAAAGGGCGAGAAAGGAAAGAUCUCUUCCCUCAGACUUCUCUUUUCCCAGGUGGGCCAGUUCUUGGCCUCGCGGGCUUACGUCAUGGGAGGAAUGCGGUGACGCGACGCUGCUCUUGUGACGUCGACGACGAAGGCCGGGCUCCCGGUUCGAUGAUGUCAUCGGGUCCUUUUUCCUCCCCCUGCUGCCCUGCGAUGGAAAUGGCAAGGAUGGAGGAACAAGUUAAAUGACAUCAGGAAACAGCUGUCAAACCCCAAGGGUGGAGUAUGCUGGAGGACAACUGUCUCUUCGAUGAAUCAGUCAUGGCAAAAGGGAAUGGGGAGUAUUCUAGGGCAGGUGACAUCAUUGACAUUUGGGGCCAAACUGCAUUGUAGGGUGCUGAGCAGCAUCCCUGGCUGCCACUCACUACAUGCCAGGAGCACACAGCCCCCACCCCUCACCAGAUGUGACAACCAAAGAUGUUUCCAGACACAGCCAAAUGUCCUUGGAGAUAUUGCCCUAGAGGAUGGCAGAGCAACUGGCAGGAGGACCUGGGAUCCCCAGGCCAAAAGAGACAAACAUUCUCUCUUGUUUAAGCCAAUUAUUGGGUCCUCAUUAAAUUGAGAGAACUAUGACUUUGGUAAUCCUGUUCCAAGUUUUUAUAUUCACUGAAAGUUUCACACCAGAUAAGAAUGCUCAUUGAAGCAGAAAGGCGAUGUGGGUGUCCAUCCCUAGGGGACCAGAAAGAUGAAAUAAGGAAGGCUGCAGAAUACAAAACACUAAGCCAACAGUGAAAGCAACAAAGUAGCUCUUAAAAAAAAAUCUGAUGGGGAGAUCCUGUCGUGGCGCAGUGGUUAACGAAUACGACUGGGAACCAUGAGGUUGCGGGUUCGGUCCCUGCCCUUGCUCAGUGGGUUAACGAUCCGGUGUUGCCGUGAGCUGUGGUGUAGGUUGCAGACGCGGCUUGGAUCUGGCUUUGCUGUGGCUCUGGCGUAGGCCAGUGGCUACAGCUCCGAUUCAACCCCUAGCCUGGGAACCUCCACAUGCUGCGGAAGCGGCCCAAGAAAUAGCAAAAAGACAAAAAAAAAAAAAAAUCUGAUGGGCCUGAUAAUGUGAGAAAAUAGAAUGGGUACAUGUAUGUAUAACUGGGUCACCAUGCUGUACGGUAGAAAAAAAAAUUGUGGGAGACCUAGACAGCUGCAUGCAAAGCAAUGAAACUAGAACACACCCUCACACCCUGCACAAAAAUAAACUCCAAAUGGCUGAAAGACUUAAAUAUACGACAGGACACCAUCAAACUCCUAGAAGAAAACAUAGGCAAAACACUCUCUGACAUCAACAUCAUGAAUAUUUUCUCAGGUCAGUCUCCCAAAGCAAUAGAAAUUAGAGCAAAAAUAAACCCAUGGGACCUCAUCAAACUGAAAAGCUUUUGCACAGCAAAGGAAACCAAAAAGAAAACAAAAA